Molecule: ribosomal RNA, 252 nt
Filed under: uncultured bacterium
Lineage: Bacteria
Description: partial 16S ribosomal RNA
Rfam family: Bacterial small subunit ribosomal RNA
Source: RNAcentral
UACGUAGGGUGCGAGCGUUGUCCGGAAUUAUUGGGCGUAAAGAGCUCGUAGGCGGUUUGUCGCGUCUGCUGUGAAAACGCGAGGCUCAACCUCGCGCCUGCAGUGGGUACGGGCAGACUAGAGUGCGGUAGGGGAGAUUGGAAUUCCUGGUGUAGCGGUGGAAUGCGCAGAUAUCAGGAAGAACACCAGUGGCGAAGGCGGCUUCUGGUCCGGUACUGACGCUGAGGUGCGAAAGCGUGGGGAGCAAACAGG